RNA transcript from Camponotus floridanus (Florida carpenter ant), 810 nucleotides. It is a transcript of the gene named cytochrome b-c1 complex subunit 9, with no coding region annotated. The record is from RefSeq and is a predicted model, not a curated record. The transcript has 4 exons. NCBI's taxonomy places the organism in Eukaryota, Metazoa, Arthropoda, Insecta, Hymenoptera, Formicidae.
GUCGUCUCGUCAGUUCGAUUUUUUUCGGAUCUUUCAGGCGAAAAUAUCGUAAAAACUAAAAUCAGAAAUGAGUAUCGGUAGCACGUUGUACAAUGUCUUUCUUAGACGCACAUCGACGUUUGUGGUCGUCGUUGUAGCUUCGAGCUUCUUUUUCGAAAGGUCAUUUGAUUUGGCAGCCGACAAGAUUUUCGAUUCUGUUAACAAAGGGAAACUAUGGAAAGACAUAAAGGACAAAUAUGAGCAUGAAUGAGAUAUUUUAGAGACAAUAUGUUAGCUUUGUAUUUAACAGAUGUGCUCUACCUUCAAAUAUGUAUAAAUAAAUAACAAUUUAGAUGAUUUAUAUACGUAUGAUGCAUCAAAGCUUUUUUUAUCGGUGAUAUAAGGAUCACAUCUUACUGAGUAUGGGAUUUCCACAACGUCAGCAUCGAGGGAAGCUACAUAAGCGUAUCGAUACUGAGAAGUGCUCUCCAUCAUAGGAACGUCUUUGCAACCAAGUACGGGAACACGGAAACAUCGCGUACGCGUAGCAUCCUUAUCGAAGGAUUUCAUCCAUUGUCCUUUAAAAUAUAACACCGAAGUUAACAGUAUCUGAGUGUCGGCGGAAACAGUACCUGAAACAAUGUAAAAUUUCGCGUUGAUCCUGUUCGCCGCAACAUUUGCGUCUCCAAAAUUCAGCUGCUGGAUAUCGGUUCCAUAAUUAUUAUACAAAGCACUCGUAUAACCAGGAGAUGUCCUAAUCAUUGGAUUAAUCCAUAGCCGAGUCGCUACGUCGAUUUCCGUACCAUUUUGAUAACUCUGAAAUAAAUGUGA